Molecule: ribosomal RNA, 468 nt
Filed under: uncultured bacterium
Lineage: Bacteria
Description: partial 16S ribosomal RNA
Rfam family: Bacterial small subunit ribosomal RNA
Source: RNAcentral
GAUGAACGCUGGCGGCGUGCUUAACACAUGCAAGUCGAACGGAAAGGCCGAAGCUUGCUUCGGUACUCGAGUGGCGAACGGGUGAGUAACACGUGGGUGAUCUGCCCUGUACUUCGGGAUAAGCUUGGGAAACUGGGUCUAAUACCGGAUAUGACGAUCUCUUGGAUGGGGUUGUGGAAAGCUUUUGCGGUAUGGGAUGAGCUCGCGGCCUAUCAGCUUGUUGGUGGGGUAAUGGCCUACCAAGGCGUCGACGGGUAGCCGGCCUGAGAGGGUGUACGGCCACAUUGGGACUGAGAUACGGCCCAGACUCCUACGGGAGGCAGCAGUGGGGAAUAUUGCACAAUGGGCGCAAGCCUGAUGCAGCGACGCCGCGUGGGGGAUGACGGCCUUCGGGUUGUAAACUCCUUUCGCAAUCGACGAAGCCUUUUGGUGGCGGUAGGUUGAGAAGAAGCACCGGCUAACUACGUG